This is a long non-coding RNA of Anolis carolinensis (green anole), 7202 nucleotides long. RefSeq lists it as uncharacterized. The record is from RefSeq and is a predicted model, not a curated record. Lineage: Eukaryota; Metazoa; Chordata; Lepidosauria; Squamata; Anolidae. The transcript has 3 exons.
CAAUUACAAUUAAUCUUACCUUUCUCUUGUCUUUGCAGAGGAAUCAGUGUUUCCACAUCUGUACAAGCAAUCACUACACUACAAGGGGUUGGAGAUUGAACAAGUUAUUAGAGAAGCUAAGCCAAGAUGCAGGUUUUUUUCCGCUUAGCUGGAGAUGCAAUCCUAUACACAUUUACUUGGGAGUAAAUGCCCCUACUGAAGGCAGACUUCUGAAUACAAAAUGGGUUUCUUACUCUGUUUUUUCACCUAAAGAAUUAUAAUGAGGCAGAGUGAAUGAGAUCUAUGGGGAAAGCAGUGGACCUAGAGACUAAAGGUAAAAGGAUGAUUGAUGGUAUGAAAUUACCAUAAAAGUACAAUCUGGAUCAGAUUUUAAAAUGAAUUUUUAAGCAGCCUAAGAGAUACUCUUUGAUUUGUAGUCUGGUGGAAUGAAUAAUGUCUCAUUCAGUGAAUAAAGUUUCUCACUGUGUGACUUGAGCUUUUUCUGAUCUUUCUGACUGGGAGUAAAGUGGAACCAAAGCCUAAAGUGUUUUUUAAUGCUGAAAAUAUCAAACACAAUGUUCCUAAUGUCAAAAACCAGGGCAUAGCAGGUGAGGAGAGAAAAAUAAAUAGAAGGCAACGGUAUGGUUCGAAUCAAACAACAGUGCUGCUCUCCAUUCUACGUCCUUCGCGAUUGGCAUUAAGUAUUUCAAAACAUAACCGAGAAAAGGGGUCAGACAGUUACACUGACAUGAGAGGAUAAAAACAAAUCUUUGAGUAGAUUGCGAGUUAAGCAUUCAUGAGUUGACAGAGGGACACCUUUAAGCCCACUCAAGCGCAUUAAUGUGACUGUAGUGAUUUAUUAGCACCAGAUUUCAAAGUCAAUGAUUAAAUUAAAUGCAAAAUCAUGUGCCGUUGUAUAAUACAUUCACCCUAAUAAUAUACUCCAUUUACAGCAGUUUAUUACAGACCUUACGUUUAUUAAGAGCGUGUAAGAAUAGCUUUUGACAUUUUUAAAAAUAUGCAAAUAUUAGCACAGACAAAUAUUAAUACUCUUUUAAAUAUUACUUUGAAUAUAGAAAAUCAUAUUAAGUAUUUUCAGAAUUGCUAUAGCCAUAUUGACUAUUUAAUUUUUAACCUUUUAUUAUUAAUUAAAUGCUUGGAAAUAAUUCUAGAUGUCGCUGAGUGCCACACACAAUGAUAGCCUGCUGAUUUAAACAAAGGAGCAUUAAAUUUUGAAUACAGUUAUCUUUUUCCAUAGGCUCUCUGAAUUAGAGUUAUUUCGGGCUAUUCUUAAAUAUAGCUGUGAUCAUUUUCAAAAGUAAGUAGCCAUUCCCAAAUAGACAUUUUAAAACAACAGAUAGUCCUGUCCUGUAAUGAGUUUAAUUGCAAUUUGCAUGUUUUAGCCUAAUUAAGGUAUAAUUCUAACUGCAUCUGAAAAUCCUACUGGAAAGAGUGGAUUGAUGUGGCAAUAAUGCUUGAGAUCCCAGAUACUUCAGCUGAAUUCAGCUAUUGCUGAAAUUCUUAUUUAAUGUCAAAUGUUAGUGAAGAACUUGGCUAUAAUCACAGACAUCAUCUGAGCAAUUAUAUUCUCGAUUGAGAGUAAACACUAUUUAAUUUUACCAUGUUAAUUUACAUACAAGUCUGGUUCUUGGAAAUUAAAAUAAGAUGCUUUCAUUUUCAGUAUUAAUUUUUUUGGAAACUAAUAUAUAUAUAUUCUGCCAGGAUCUUUUUUUAAUGACAUUUUCCAUUUUUUUCUCCCCUGCUGACAGUUUCCAUAAUGAAUUUAAUCAUACAGUCUGGAGAGCGAACAUGUUAUUGAACAGCCGCCAUCUCAAUGGUCAAUGUCAGUGUCAUUUUCCAGGGAGCAGGGCUCUCUGAGCAUCAAGGAACAACCCUGAUUCUAACAGCCUCCUAGAAAAGUGUUAAGUGCAUUAAAUCUCUGUCAAUCACUUUUCCCUCCCAUUCGCUGGCCAAAUUAUUGUUAUUUAGCUGAAUAUAUUCCCUGGCAACUUAUUUGUGGUAUGUCCUUAUCUGUGUACCUUAUAUGACUAAUGAUGAUUGUUUAUGGAGAGCUGCCUGUCCAAUUAUUUUUGAAGGAACACAAGAAUGCAGAAUGACUGGAAGCAUCAGGUUUUUGCCAGAGAAUGCCUCAGGUAAGAGGAGAAUGGCUAGAGGCUAUAAGGAAUCACAAGAGACAAGUCAGAGUCGUAAAUUGGGAAACUGACAUAUCUCAUCUAAUAUACUUGCUAACUAGGCCUUUAAAAACCUUGACGUUUAACUAAGUUUGUGGAAAAGUUAUGGAUUUUUGUCCUUUCCCAUUGACUAUAACUCAUUAAUAUGAUGAACUGAGAUGUUUAUAAUCAUUUCCGACAUUAGCAGACUAACCUAUGGAAUGAUUUAGCGUCGCAGUUCAAAACCUUGCACUUGCAGAACUACUUAACGCAGAUUGCAUCCGUUUCAAAGACCAGUCAGUCAAAUAAGAUACUUGCAAGUUAUUUAUCGUUUUGGUUUCUCACUGCAUGACAUGGCAUGAAAGGCUUUACUUUUUUUCUCUCUCUCUCUCUCUCCAGCUCAAGACAUUUAAAUAAUACUUCAGAACCUUUUUGGAGCAGACCCAAACCUUUACUGAAAUAAACAGAGGUUUUGAAUUGUUUUAUUUUAAAAUGGGCUACAGUGACAUGAGUGCCACUUCCAAGCAAUCUAAUUAAAAUAUGAAUUAUUAUCCUAGACAGCAAGCAAAUAAUAUAUUUGCAUGUUUUAGUUGGCAUGUGCUAUGUGAUCAGAAAUACGAAGACGUGUAUCAUUUCUUUAGUAAGCAAAGGCAUUCACUUUAACAUAUGUCGUUAGAUAGCUUUUUUAAAUAAAAGAGGAGACAGGGUUUAAAAUUUCUAUUUGUAGUUGCAAUUGUGAUUUUUUCAUAGUUGUAGUACUGAGCAUUGUGACAUGUGGAAUUCUCAUAAUUGAUUAUACUAAAAAAAGACAAAAUAUAAAAUAAUAAAUGAGAAUUGAUGUUUUGAGGUGAGGAAUGUAGACCUAGUAGUAAUGGCCCGAGGAACAUUGGGCUACACACUGCUGGACAAGGUUAGGAAGGAUGGCUGCUAAAUCAGUACAUGGUCUGAGAUUAUUAUGGCUGAAUAAAGAACAAAAUCCUCCCAUAUAAUCUCUGUAAAUAUAAUGAUUUUCAAGCACAACUCAUUGCACCUUAUGUGCCUGCCUGCUGAGCAGAGAUACAAAUACCUAAGACAAGAGUCUUCUCUGCGAUUGUACCGAAAUUUUAUAUCUCUCUUUUCAACAUCACCAUUUUGGCUUUCAUUUAGGUGACAAAUGAAAAGUUUGUUCUUGAUCAACCUUUUAGGAGCUUUUGACUUUUUUUUUCUUUGUAUUUUUAUCUGCUGGCUCCUGGGUUGGAAUUAUUUGUUGGUUAUUUUAUCUCAUUUUGUGAAAUGAACACAAUUCACUUUGGGGACUGAUUGAGUCAAAGGGAAAGGUAUGUAUUUAUUUCUGCUACAAGUACCACCAACACCACAAUGAUCAAUAACAAAAAUUAUAGCAAUAAUUCCAUAGCAGUGACUAAGCCCCCAUUUACACUGCAUAUAACAUCCAGAUUAUCCACUUUUAACUCAUUAAUUAUUAUGGAUUAUAUGGCAGUGUAGACUCAUAUAAUCCAGUUCAAAGCAGAUAAUGUGGAUUAUCUGCUUUGAUAAUAUGGAUUUUUUGGCAGUGUAGAAGGGGCCUCGGUGAAUCUGUUCUGGGUCUUAACUCAGACUGCAAGAGAGAGAUCCAAGACUAUUUCAGCACCUUAGACAGCUCUUUCAACAUUCAAAUUUCAAAUUAAAACUCAAGUUGGAUUUCCUGUUCCACUGAACAUAAGUUUAGUAGUAGGUUGUUGUGAGUUUUCCGGGCUGUAUGGCCAUGUUCCAGAAGCAUUCUCUCCUGACGUUUCACCCUCAUCUAUGGUAGGCAUCCUCAGAGGAUAUAAGGUCUGUUGGAAACUAGGAUUUAUAUAUUUGUGGAAUGUCCAGGAUGAGAGAAAGCAUUCAUUGUCUGUUUGAGGCAAGUGUGAAUGUUGCACCUUGAUUAGCUCUGAAUAGCCUUGCAGCUUCAAAGCCUGGGUGAUUCCUGUUUUCGCAGUAGGUUUUUAAAGAAUGAUUAAACAAUUAAAACAAUAAUAAACUACAACAGUAAUAUUCUUUGUUUACAAAUAGUUGUUAUAGCUCAAUAGUAAAAUCAGUCCAUAUUAAGAAGAGGUUUCUCCAAAAAUUUCAGCUUGUGGAUCCUUAAGCUGUUUCAGGUUUAAUGGCAAAAUCAAUACCAAAUUGUCCCAUGAAUCUGCUAAAUGGAAAUAAAAAACCCAGAAGAUAUAUGUUGUUAUAGUGCUCAUGUUGCACUGCCACAGUAUGAGUACAAACAAGGGCAAAAAUGGAGUGUUGUUUGAGCAUUGUGUGGGAAAAGUGGAUCUUAAUUAAGAACUACUUAUACGUUUGCUUAGAGUCUUCCCCCAUCCCAAUGCCAGCAGAAUGUUUUACCUAGAGAAGGGACAGAAUAUAUGAAUGAAUCAUCUUACUGAAGUUAUUAGAGAGCCAGAUUAACCGGCUUCACCUCCUCCUCCCUUAUUUUCCUGACAGAGGUUCUUUUUAACAAUAUAUAUAAAUGUUUUCAUUUGUGCAAAAUACAAUGCUUCAACGUCAAAUCUUGUAUUUUGCAUAGAUCUGAUCUCCCCCCCCCAAAAAAAACUAUCUCUUUGUAAAAAUAUUUUGAAAUGCCAAAACAAAAUAGAAAAGCUGUUGCACAGCAGGGAGACAACAUAUUCAACACUUAAUUGUUUGAAAUUCUCAUAUAUGAAAAUGAAAUAAGCAAAGAUUUAUAUACCUUCCCGAAAAACAAGUGGGUGAGUCCUGUGACUUUAACUGGGACUGUUCUGUUUGUAGUUUCACCUGCUCUGUUUCUUCUCUUGUUAUAAUCUUCAAUCAGAAGGAGUACCUGUGUUUGCUGACUAGUUUUGUAAUAUGAUUGUAGUCUUUUUGAGUUAUUGCAUGGCUUGCUUUAAAAAAAUGUUUUAGCAGCUUUGAAUGGUAUACAUUUAAUUCUUUUAGUUCUUAAUUUACCUCCCUACAAUUCUACCUGCCUGACAUGGAGGCAUAGUGAAUGGAUUUGAUAUUUACUCAUCUAUAAUUUGGGCAUGUAACAGUUGAUUCUCUGUCCUGAAAACAAUUUCCCCAAUUAUUACAGUUCUUUGUCUUUUUCAUGUAUUUUAACUAUGUUGUACCCAGCCUUGAGCUGUGAGGAGAGGGGAGUAACAAAUAAAUUAUUAACAAUAAAUAAUAAUAAUAAUAAUAAUAAUAAUAAUAAUAAUAAUAAUAAUAAUGGAUGUGGCUCACAAAUGGAACUUUGAAAAAGGAGACCGAGGGCCUGAUUCAUUCAGCCAAAGAACAAGCAAUUAGAACGAAUGCUAUCAAAACCAGUAUUGAAAAGUCAGCUACAGACUCAAAGUGUAGACUCUGCAAGGAAGCAGAUGAAAUGAUGGAUCACAUCCUCAGCUGCACAGAGGCAUACUACCGUGGCUCAGGUGACACAUUGGAACUUGUGCCACAAAUACCAUCUGCCUGCGACAAAAACCUGGUAGGAUUACAAGCCUGAAAAAGUUACAGAAAAUGAGCACGUCAAACUACUCUCGGACUUCCAAAUUCAGACUGACAGAGUUUUGGAGCACAAUACUCCUGGCCUCACAAUCAUGGGAAAAAACAAUGUAUGGAUCGUCGAUGUUGCAAUCCCAGGUGACAGCAGUAUCAACUAGAAGCAACUGAAAAAGCUUACAGGAUAUGAGGAUUUAAAAAUCGAACUGCAAAGACUUUGGCACAAGCCAGUCAAGGUGGUCCCAGUGGUGAUCGGCACAUUGAGUAUAGUGCCUAAAGACUUUGGCCGGCAAUUGAAAACAAUCAGUGUUGACAAAAUUACUAUCUGUCAGCUGUAAAAGGCCAUCCUACUUGGAUCUGUACGCAUUACUCCCCGAUACACUACAUAGUCCUAGACACUUGGGAAGUGUCCGGCAUGUGAUACAAUACAAAAGCUAGCAUAGUGAUCUUGUUUUCUGUGUACUAAUCUUGUUGUGUAUCAAAUAAUGAUGAUGAUGAUGAUGAUACUUCACUUCCUCCAAAUCUCCACAGUGAUCUUUAGACCAGUUGCUCCACAGAAGAUCUAGCAGCUCCACAGAAGCAAUGUUUAUUCAUAUGCAAAUAGGCCCUAGGACUCAGAUCCAGCAAGUUUGUAACUGAUCCUAAGUACUAUUUCAAUAAACUAUAUUUUUAAGGUAGUAGUUGUAAAUUUAUUGAUUAGCCUCUAGGCCAUAUCACAGUACCAAACCAAACAAAAAGGCUUGAUAAAACAUGAUUACACACUAUAAAGUUAAAUAAAACACUUAUAACAAUACAGUAAAUACAUAUGAUAAAACUGAAUAUACAUAUAUAAACUAUAGUACUUAAAUACAGUAGACUCUCAGUUAACUUGCACCCAUGUGUAUUGGUAGGUGCUGGAUUUAAUUUAAUUUCUGGUUGCUUAAAAAUUACUAUUAAAACUAGUCCUAACUAAUACUAUACUUCAUAUCAUACCAUAAACUCUGUGUUGACUUGAUAUUAAUAUUGAAAUAUUAAUAUUGUGAAACAUUGUGAACAUUGUGAAAGCCACCCACUGCAUGGCUAUCACCCUCCUCCCACCAGACUCAAAUCAAGGAAGGGCUUCAUGAGAACCACCACUCCUCUUGAUGUUCCUCCAGCAACAGCAAGGGUGUCCCUCUGGGCAGCUAAACCUGGCAAUUCUAACUGGAUGGCCCUCCAAGAGGGUCUUCCUCCAGGGGCAAACCAAGAAUGGGCAACUUGGAAGUCCCUGAACAGACUCAGAAGUGGAGUGGGCAGAUCAAAAGACAACUUGGCAAGGUGGCACUACCUGGAGGAAUCCUCCACCUUGUGUGACUGUGGAGCUGAACAAACAACUCCUCAUAUGUAUGCUUGCCCACAAUGCCCUGCCUCAUGCACGGAGGAGGAGUUGUUUAAAGCUACAGACAAUGCGGUUGCUGUUGCCCACUUUUGGUCCAAAACUAUUUAGUUGCUUGUGAUUUCUUCUUCUUUUUUUAUUUCCAUUAUUUGAAAUGUAUUCGUUGUACAAUGCUUUUGACACGAAAUAAAUAAAUAAAUAUUGAAAUACAUUAAUUAAAAGCAAAUAAAGACAAA